RNAcentral lists this ribosomal RNA (292 nucleotides) under uncultured bacterium. RNAcentral's name for it is "partial 16S ribosomal RNA". The record is from RNAcentral.
GGACUACCGGGGUUUCUAAUCCCGUUUGCUCCCCUGGCUUUCGUGUCUCAGCGUCAGCAUGUCCCCAGCUACCUGUUUUCACCAUUGGCGUUCCAAAUGAUAUCUACGCAUUUCACCGCUCCACCAUUUGUUCCGGUAGCCCCUAGACAGCUCAAGAUAACCAGUAUACCCAGCAGUUCCACGGUUGAGCCGUGGGAUUUCACAAGGUACUUAGAAAUCCGCCUACACACGCUUUAAGCCCAGUGAUUCCGCCUAACGCUUGGCACCUCUGUCUUACCGCGGCUGCUGGCAC